GCCAGCCCGCUCAGAACUUAAAUGAAUUGACGGGGCCCGCACAAGCAGCGGAGCAUGUGGUUUAAUUCGAAGCAACGCGAAGAACUUACCUAGACUUGACAUCUCCUGAAUUACCCGUAACUGGGGAAGCUCUUCGGAGCAGGAAGACAGGUGGUGCAUGGUUGUCGUCAGCUCGUGUCGUGAGAUGUUGGGUUAAGUCCCGCAACGAGCGCAACCCUUUAUCGUUAGUUGCUACCAUUAAGUUGAGCACUCUAGCGAGACUGCCCGGGUUAACCGGGAGGAAGGUGGGGAUGACGUCAAAUCAUCAUGCCCCUUAUGUCUAGGGCUACACACGUGCUACAAUGGUGAGGACAAAGAGACGCAAGACCGCGAGGUGGAGCAAAUCUCACAAACCUCAUCCCAGUUCGGAUUGCAGGCUGAAACUCGCCUGCAUGAAGCCGGAGUUGCUAGUAAUCGCGAAUCAGCAUGUCGCGGUGAAUACGUUCCCGGGCCUU
Molecule: ribosomal RNA, 494 nt
Filed under: uncultured Clostridium sp.
Lineage: Bacteria; Bacillati; Bacillota; Clostridia; Eubacteriales; Clostridiaceae
Description: bacterial SSU rRNA
Rfam family: Bacterial small subunit ribosomal RNA
Source: RNAcentral